Molecule: ribosomal RNA, 253 nt
Filed under: uncultured bacterium
Lineage: Bacteria
Description: partial 16S ribosomal RNA
Rfam family: Bacterial small subunit ribosomal RNA
Source: RNAcentral
UACGUAGGGUGCAAGCGUUGUCCGGAAUUAUUGGGCGUAAAGAGCUCGUAGGCGGUCUGUCACGUCGGCUGUGAAAUCCCGAGGCUCAACCUCGGGUCUGCAGUCGAUACGGGCAAACUAGAGUAUAGUAGGGGUAAAGGGAAUUUCCAGUGGAGCGGUGAAAUGCGUAGAGAUUGGAAAGAACACCGAUGGCGAAGGCACUUUACUGGGCUAUUACUAACACUCAGAGACGAAAGCUAGGGUAGCAAAUGGG